RNAcentral lists this long non-coding RNA (276 nucleotides) under Lathyrus oleraceus (garden pea). RNAcentral describes it as "Pisum sativum (pea) long non-coding RNA (PSAT_LNC033885)". The record is from RNAcentral. Lineage: Eukaryota; Viridiplantae; Streptophyta; Magnoliopsida; Fabales; Fabaceae.
AGGGUUUAUAGAGUGUUGUGAGCGGCUGGGAAAUUGAAGAGAGAGAAAGGCUACCGAAAAUAACGCUUCUUUUUCUUUUUUUUUCCGUUUUAAGUUAACCUAGGUGGGUCUGUUUCGGGCCUUCCAGAUUUGGCCCAUUAAUCCCUAUCAGCACCCCCCAUACAAUUGGGUUGUCCCUUUUAGGCCUAUGCUGAUUGUUUUAGAAUUUAAUUAGAUAAUUUUUUAUUUAGAAAUAAUUGUAGAUUAAUUAGAAUUCUAUUGUGAUUUAGAUUUGUU